Molecule: small nucleolar RNA, 121 nt
Organism: Bufo bufo (common toad)
Lineage: Eukaryota; Metazoa; Chordata; Amphibia; Anura; Bufonidae
Product: small nucleolar RNA SNORA28
Exons: 1
Source: RefSeq, a predicted model, not a curated record
AAGCAACACUCUGUGACAGUUGCAACCCCAUCUGUCCCAAUUUAUGCUUGCUAGAGAAAUUAAGUUUAUCCUAUUCCAGUAAUCUCUUUGUGAGGCCUACUGUUAUAAUGACUCGAACACA